Molecule: ribosomal RNA, 254 nt
Filed under: uncultured bacterium
Lineage: Bacteria
Description: partial 16S ribosomal RNA
Rfam family: Bacterial small subunit ribosomal RNA
Source: RNAcentral
UACGGAGGGGGCGAGCGUUAUUCGGAAUUAUUGGGCGUAAAGGGCGCGUAGGCGGCUGUACAAGUCAAAGGUGAAAUCCCUCGGCUCAACUGAGGAACUGCCUUUGAAACUGUACGGCUUGAGGCCGGGAGGGGGUAGCGGAAUUCCCAGUGUAGCGGUGAAAUGCGUAGAUACUGGGAGGAACACCAGUGGCGAAGGCGGCUACCUGGACCGGUUCUGACGCUGAGGCGCGAAAGCGUGGGUAGCAAACAGGG